UACGUAGGGUGCGAGCGUUGUCCGGAAUUAUUGGGCGUAAAGGGCUCGUAGGCGGUUUGUCGCGUCGGGAGUGAAAUCCACUGGCUUAACUGGUGGCUUGCUUUCGAUACGGGCAGACUGGAGGUAUGCAGGGGAGAACGGAAUUCCUGGUGUAGCGGUGAAAUGCGCAGAUAUCAGGAGGAACACCAGUGGCGAAGGCGACUCACUGGACACAUAUUGACGCUGAGACGCGAAAGCGUGGGGAGCAAACAGG
This 253-nucleotide ribosomal RNA is filed under the name uncultured bacterium. Its description in RNAcentral is "partial 16S ribosomal RNA". It matches the Rfam family "Bacterial small subunit ribosomal RNA", at positions 524 to 776 of the family's 1533-position model. The record is from RNAcentral.